This 223-nucleotide ribosomal RNA is filed under the name Dawkinsia denisonii (Denison barb). RNAcentral describes it as "partial small subunit ribosomal RNA". The record is from RNAcentral. Lineage: Eukaryota; Metazoa; Chordata; Actinopteri; Cypriniformes; Cyprinidae.
UGGGCACAGCCCAGCACGUCAGGUCAAGGUGUAGCGCAUGAAGUGGAAAGAAAUGGGCUACAUUUUCUACCACAGAACAUUACGAAUAUGUAUCAUGAAACAAUACUUAAAGGAGGAUUUAGCAGUAAAAGGGAAAUAGAGUGCCCCAUUGAACCCGGCUCUGAGACACGUACACACCGCCCGUCACUCUCUCCGUAAAAGCGCACAAAAUACCUAAUAAUAU